This is a long non-coding RNA of Lycium ferocissimum, 735 nucleotides long. RefSeq lists it as uncharacterized. The transcript is spliced from 2 exons. The record is from RefSeq and is a predicted model, not a curated record. Lineage: Eukaryota; Viridiplantae; Streptophyta; Magnoliopsida; Solanales; Solanaceae.
GGGACUAACUUUCUACAAGAGAUUUUGCUGUCACUUUUGGUGCUCAUGAAUAUAAAGGUUUAUAAGAUAGUUUAUUUUAAAUUGUUUAAAGAAUGAUUAGGUUAGACUUGUUGGUUACUAUCCUAUAUUCUGAGUUGGUUGGUUGACAAGCAAAUUUAAUCUAAAUAAACAAAACAAACAACAUACCCAGUGUAAUCCCACAAGUGGGGUCUGGGGAGGGUAAGAUGUACGCAAACCUUACCUCUAUCUUUGUAAUAGAGAGGCUGUUUCCGAUAGACCCUCAGCUCAAAAGAAAUGUAACUGAUGCAGAAACUUAAGAAAGGAAAAAGGGACGGCAAAAAUAGCAAAGUACAAAAAUGCAGUAACAUAUAUCAAUACACAUUAGCCAAAAAGAAACUACAUGACUACCCUAAAACAUACGACUAAAAGUAAGAUAACACUCUAUUACCUACUAACCAUCUAAUCAGGAUGCAAAUACCAUAUCUGAAGGCCAGGUCCUUUCAUGGAUGCAGUGCCUGUGAUUUGCAUCUUUGAUUUAUGUAUUUUGUACAAUUUUCUUUCUUUUCGUUACUGAUAAAAAACUGUUCAUUCUUUUUGCCAUUUUUUAACUGUUAGUGUUUCUUCUGGUUCUUUUAUGCAUUUCUAGACAUUCAUUCAGAUGAAUAUAUUGUGCUGAGUGGGCAAAAGAUGGGAUUUUCUUGGACAAGAGUUUUGUUUUAUGCUGUUUUUUUUUUU